RNAcentral lists this long non-coding RNA (1840 nucleotides) under Diabrotica virgifera virgifera (western corn rootworm). RNAcentral describes it as "uncharacterized LOC126880098". The record is from RNAcentral. Lineage: Eukaryota; Metazoa; Arthropoda; Insecta; Coleoptera; Chrysomelidae.
UCUGGAAUUAUAAUCUAUACGAAAAGAUCUUAUAUGUUACCAAGUUAUUUAAUUAUUGAUUAACAAUUACUUAUCUAAAAUUUUAAUAGAAAAUUAAAGAUUUUGUUGGAAAAACCCUCAUUUUCCGGGGAAAGUUUUUGUCAAAGUGAAUCGGGAAAAACACGUCUCUAUGCAGAAUUUAAUUGCGGUGAAUUUUUAUUUGGAUGUUUUUGGUGUAAAGUUAAAAUCUUUGGAGCUAUAGAGCAAAAAUUGAAAAAAAAACACGAUUUUCAAGCGCCAUUUUGUUUAUAAAAAAAGUAGCACACUAUCUGCGGACUUUGUAUACCUAUAUUAUUAAUACAUACAAUAAUAAGAUUCGAUCCCAGCAAUAAAAUUGCUGGGUAAUAACUUUUCCCAAAAAUGGCCUAUUCUCCGAUAAUCAGCCCAGACUAUUAAUCGGUGCGUCGACGACACGAUUUUUUUCGCAAUAUAAGCGACAGCGUUUUUUCAUUGUCAUGAACACAUUGCUGCGAUUAUUCGUCGUGACGACGACGUGUUUUUUCUCAUUGAUCACGUUGAACCGACGACAACGACAUAGUCUAGAAUGGAUUCUUCGAAAUCGGAGGAAGAUUUGAUCUUGCUGGUUGCUUUAGCAGACGAGGAGGAUCAAAGGUUUUUAGCAACAGGCGACAGCUUCAGUACAAUCGGGCACAGUUAUCGUGUUGGAUUUGCAACUGUCUCUACAAUAUAAAAUGAAGUAUGUGAAGCUACACGUAAAAGAUUACAGCCUAUUUAUCUUCCCGAACCGACAACAGAAAUAUGGCAAAAAUCAGGUGCAAAAAUAUAGGCGCAAAAUUUCGGCUCCAAUACUAUAUUUAAAUGGGAUUUAUUUUUUCGAAUUCUGAGAAAAAAGUUACAGGGGUGAAAAACUAAGAGACAAUUUAGUGUGAUUUUUAUUUUCAAAGAUCUCAUUCAAAAGAAACUUUUUAUUUAUUCUAAGGGACUUUCAGCCCUCGGUAAUAAUUUAGUCUUUCAUUCUGCGUUUAAAUUUUUCAAAAGUAUUACUUUUUUCAGUAUAGGGCUUUUCAUUCGCAGUCAUUUGUUUCGAGCUUCUGUCAUGUGUCACAUAAUAUUAAUAUAUCUACGUUAUACGUUAUUGGUAUAUAACAAUGAUACAAACUAGAGACGUAUGACGUAAAUAUAUUAAUAUUAUGUGACACAUGACAGAAGCUCGAAACAAAUGGCAAUCGAUGAAAAGCCCUAUAGGGCUUUUCAUUCACAGUCAUUUGUUUCGAGCUUCUGUCAUGUGUCACAUAAUAUUAAUAUAUCUACGACAUACGUUAUUGGUAUAUACAAUAAUACAAACCAAAGACGUAUGACGUAGAUAUAUUAAUAUUAUGUGACACAUGACAGAAGCUCGAAACAAAUGACAAUCGAUGAAAAGCCCUAUUGGAAAAAAAUGAACACCAUGUCAGUGGUAAUAUUUUCCAAAUUGAACAUUCGCUAUCUUUGUCGUACAAUGCACUCAGUCGAACACAAUGUGCUGACAAGACAGCGGCAAUUUUAGAUAUUUGACACGGCUUUAGGAAUAAUAAUAACGUUUGAUCCAAAAUUAUUGUCACCAUAGGUGGCUCUCAACGACAGAGAUAGAUAUACAGUGCAUGUCUAUUCUUAAUUCAGAUAUACUACUUUCCAGUUUACGUCAACUUUGCAGUGCACGUCAACUUAACAAGAAAAGUUAGGUUAUGUAGAGAUGUUGGUGGUGGACAUAUACAGCAUCUUGUUUGAUUUUAUUUAUUAUUGUUACGUAUAAUUGUGUUAAUUCUUUUUAUUUUAGAUUAAAGUUCUGUGUUAAAGGUUU